GCCGGGAGCGGUGGCGCGUGCCUGUAGACCCAGCUACUCAGGAGGCUGAGGUGGGAGGAUUGCUUGAGCCCAGGAGUUCUGGGCUGCAGUGCGCUAUGCCGAUUGUAUGUCCACACUAAGUUCGACAUCAAUAUGGUGAGCUCCCGGGAACAGGGGACCACCAGGUUGCCUAAGGAGGGGUGAACUGGCCCAGGUCGGAAACGAAGCAGGUCAAAACUCCCGUGCUGAUCAGUAGUGGGAUCGCGCCUAUGAAUAGCCACUGCACUCCAGCCUGGGCAACAUAGCGAGACCCCGUCUCU
Molecule: signal recognition particle RNA, 299 nt
Filed under: Aotus nancymaae (Ma's night monkey)
Lineage: Eukaryota; Metazoa; Chordata; Mammalia; Primates; Aotidae
Description: Metazoan signal recognition particle RNA (ENSANAG00000009474.1)
Rfam family: Metazoan signal recognition particle RNA
About the family: The signal recognition particle (SRP) is a universally conserved ribonucleoprotein. It is involved in the co-translational targeting of proteins to membranes.
Source: RNAcentral